RNAcentral lists this ribosomal RNA (255 nucleotides) under uncultured bacterium. RNAcentral's name for it is "partial 16S ribosomal RNA". It matches the Rfam family "Bacterial small subunit ribosomal RNA", at positions 793 to 1055 of the family's 1533-position model. The record is from RNAcentral.
GUCCACGCCGUAAACGAUGGAUACUAGCUGUUGGGAGCAAUUUCAGUGGCUAAGCGAAAGUGAUAAGUAUCCCACCUGGGGAGUACGUUCGCAAGAAUGAAACUCAAAGGAAUUGACGGGGGCCCGCACAAGCGGUGGAGCAUGUGGUUUAAUUCGAUGAUACGCGAGGAACCUUACCAAGGCUUAAAUGUAGAUUGACAGAUUUGGAAACAGAUUUUUCUUCGGACAAUUUACAAGGUGCUGCAUGGUUGUCGU